AUCGUAAAACACGAUCUGAGCCG
This 23-nucleotide non-coding RNA is filed under the name Arabidopsis thaliana (thale cress). Lineage: Eukaryota; Viridiplantae; Streptophyta; Magnoliopsida; Brassicales; Brassicaceae. The record is from RNAcentral.